RNAcentral lists this long non-coding RNA (1148 nucleotides) under Felis catus (domestic cat). Its description in RNAcentral is "lncRNA (ENSFCAG00000053308.1)". The record is from RNAcentral. Lineage: Eukaryota; Metazoa; Chordata; Mammalia; Carnivora; Felidae.
CCUGGGCUCCGCAUCCGAGCUGCGACUCGAGGCCUCGGUGCCCCAGGCUCCCAGAGCCUUGGGGUCAGGCUGGCAGAGAAGGCCCGUGUAGGGCAGAACGCUGGGCAGACGGAGGUCCGGGCUGUGCCACUGAACAGGGGAGAGGCGUGGUGUCGGCGGGCGUCCCUUUCCUCACGUGCAAGAGAAGUUUCCUAUUCUAACAUCCUCCCCCACUGCCACCAUUUUACAGAACUCCCAAGACCACCUUCUGCCCCCCCCCCCAACCGCCCCCGUUCCUCUACCUCCACAUAUUCACCCACUUGUGCGUCCUCCCUGCAGGGCUGCUAGCCCUCGGGGGACAGAGGUCUUGUCUGGCUCGCUCUCCGUUGCAUCCCCGGAGCCUGGCAGGACGUGGACACGUAUGAUAAUGGUUUGCAUGAGCUGAAUGUUUCCUAAAAGGCAGACACAGCUAAGGUUUCUAUGUUAUUUUAUUCAUAUUGUAAACAUUAACUCUGUGCAGACAUUGAGGCUGGGUGAGCAUAACGGAUGGUCCAAGGUCAUAGACCUGGUGAGUGGGAAAUUCGGCAUUUGCACCCAGGCAGACUGGCUCUAGAGCCCUUAAUCCCUAUGCCCGGGGGAAUGAAUAGCCAACCCUCGCUGUCGGGCCUGGUUUAAGCUCCCCAGCCCGAUGGGCAGUCUUUGGCAGGAGGCUUCCUUGGCCUGGCUUGUCGGGGCCAGGCAGUUCCACUGAGCCGUCCUAGUGAGCUGGGGUGGUGAUGGGGAAAAACCGUUGCUGGGAUUUGAGGAGGUCAGUCCUGAAAUGUCAGAAAGGAUUUCAGCUCUUCUGCCACCCCGAGGAUGGUGGCGCAUACAUCACAGCGAGCUGGCUCACGUCAGGUCAUCCGUGGCAUUCGAUGCUGGCAUGUUGCUUCCUCUUCUCUCCAGCCCCCGGCGCCCCAUCUUUCUCUCAGUUCUAGUCCGAGCGCUGUGCAGAUUCUCUCCAGCCCGUGCAGUGUCUGUGAGCUGCUCUAGAAGGAUGUGACUCCGAGGAGGCUCUGGGAGCCGUGUAUCCUAGCAACCGCCGAGGCUGGCAUCAGCAGGGCUAGGCCCAGACUCAAGGUGUGUUCUAAUUUUUCAGCCUUCUAUUAAUGGUGCAUCUCCCACAGGGA